GACGUAGGGCGCGAGCGUUGUCCGGAUUUAUUGGGCGUAAAGAGCUCGUAGGCGGCUUGUCGCGUCGACCGUGAAAACUUGGGGCUCAACCCCAAGCCUGCGGUCGAUACGGGCAGGCUCGAGUUCGGUAGGGGAGACUGGAAUUCCUGGUGUAGCGGUGAAAUGCGCAGAUAUCAGGAAGAACACCAAUGGCGAAGGCAGCUCUCUGGGACGGUACUGACGCUGAGACGCGAAAGCGUGGGGAGCGAACAGG
This 253-nucleotide ribosomal RNA is filed under the name uncultured bacterium. RNAcentral's name for it is "partial 16S ribosomal RNA". It matches the Rfam family "Bacterial small subunit ribosomal RNA", at positions 524 to 776 of the family's 1533-position model. The record is from RNAcentral.